RNAcentral lists this ribosomal RNA (280 nucleotides) under uncultured prokaryote. Its description in RNAcentral is "partial 16S ribosomal RNA". It matches the Rfam family "Bacterial small subunit ribosomal RNA", at positions 524 to 803 of the family's 1533-position model. The record is from RNAcentral.
UACGUAGGGGCUAGCGUUAUCCGGAAUUACUGGGCGUAAAGGGUGCGUAGGUGGUUUCUUAAGUCAGAGGUGAAAGGCUACGGCUCAACCGUAGUAAGCCUUUGAAACUGGGAAACUUGAGUGCAGGAGAGGAGAGUGGAAUUCCUAGUGUAGCGGUGAAAUGCGUAGAUAUUAGGAGGAACACCAGUAGCGAAGGCGGCUCUCUGGACUGUAACUGACGCUGAGGCGCGAAAGUGUGGGGAGCAAACAGGAUUAGAUACCCGGGUAGUCCCUGAGCGGG